UGCAUAACUCCUCAAAGAUACACAGAAUGUAUCGUAAAAUGCUACAAAGUACGAUACUUAAGCAAAAUAAAACAUGAAAUAAAGUAAAACAAUCACAGAAUAAUGUUACGAUUUUCGGUACAAGCUAUACUGAGCUGAUUAUUAUAAGGGAAAGUGUUGUCUGUCGUAUUCACUUGGAUACGGUUGAACCAUGUAAACAAUACUCUUUGUGUGUAAAAUUUGGGAUAUUUUCUGUGUUUGAAGAGACGGCAGUUCAGAUGUAGUCGUCCUGUGUGUCAGAAAGCUGGUGAUCAAAAUGGUUGAAGGCAAUACCCAAGAAAGUACAUUUACAAAUUUGUGAGGAGUAACCUAGCCUAUAUAACCUGAAGCUCACCCAAUAUGCAGUGUUCUGCUCUGUCAAUAACAACUCUGUAUGGCUGGUCUGACCUCAGUGGAAGUUGUUCGUUUAAAUGGUUUCGGGACAUUGAAAUAAAACAACACGAGAUGAGAUGCCAUACACAGGGGAUCCGACAGAAGACAGCAGACAGAAUUCGUCGAUCUAUUUGAAAUGUCAUUGUUUAUUUGAAAAAAGAUACCUAUCCACA
Mya arenaria is the source of this 584-nucleotide long non-coding RNA. RefSeq lists it as uncharacterized. The transcript has 5 exons. NCBI's taxonomy places the organism in Eukaryota, Metazoa, Mollusca, Bivalvia, Myida, Myidae. The record is from RefSeq and is a predicted model, not a curated record.